UCAUUACUCAAUGAUUUAUUUCUCCAGAAAUUAGUCUGAAAACAUACUGCGUACAUGCAUACACAUGUAGGUACCAGAAUCGCCAUGCUGUAGCUCUUGGACAAAUAUAAUUCCCUUCUCAGAAUCUGUGUAGUAGGAACUGUCUUUCUAAGAAGGAAAGUCUCCAGUUUUUUGAUAAAAUGCAUUACAUAAUUGCAGUUCAUUGUUCUAGAAUAUUCCAGUUCAUUGUUGUCAAAGGUACAAGAAUGACCACCCACCUCCCCAAAAAAAGAUUGAUCUGUUUCACUCUCCAACUUUAGCUUGCUCUCUGAAAGGGAUUAUAUUUUAGGGAAUCAGAAAAUACACAAGUUUAUACAUAUGCAAUUGCAGGAUAAACUUGUUAAUCACUGAAAGGUCGAUGUACCAUUAAUGGCUGGAUCAGCAAAAGAAGCAAAUUUGAACAAAGGUAUCAGUGUACUUCAAAAAUGAAAACAUUUUGUGCUUAACUGUUAUGGAUGAAUAAUAGUAUAGAAAGUGUUUCAUCCAUCUGUGUGGAAGAAAUGAGAAUUAUCCAGAAUGUUAGAAAAUAGCAAAAGAAAUAGAGGGAGACAAGACAAAAUGCUGUGCAUCAGUAAUGUUUCAACUCAAUGAUCUGUUACUACACAGUCUGUAUUCUAUUAGCUUUAAAGAAGGCAACUAGUGCUGGAGAAUAUAAUCUGAUCGCAAUUCAGUCAAGUAAAGUUUGCCAAUUUCAACUUUUAUUAUUUUUUUUUGUUUAUUUCAUGAUAGCGAAUAAUGUGACAAAUGGGGUAUGCAAUGAAAUGUAUUUACCUUGUGUCCGAAGUGCAUUGAUUAUUAUUCUUGUGACCCUGCUGUGACAGAUGCAACACCUGCUGCUUCUCAUCUGUCUGCUCAGUCUGUUUGCUGUUUAGAUAGGAAUUACCUAAAAUAUUUGCUGGGGUUUCAAUCUCAAAAUAGUGAGCUAAACCUAAGUAAUCAAUUGUGCCCAUAUGACUCUGCCACACUGGAAAGGAUGUUUUUGUUCCCUUCCUGUAUUCCUGCCAAACAGCAGAGACAUCUUUUACCUCCCACUUCUUAAAAGUUAGAUCAGCCCUCAUUGUAGGCUGGAUUUUAAAAGCUAGUGUUUCGUUUUAUUAAACAAAGGUGAAAGUACUGCACAGUUCCAGCCAGAACUGCCAUUAGCACAUGCAAAUUCUAGUUUUAUUGGCUGAUGCACCUGGCAUUACUUUUACAGAAUUAAGCUAAAGCCAGUUUUAGACAGCACCAAAAUAAAGUCUUCAGACCUGCUGGGAGUGCAUUUCAGAUAAUAAAACUGUGACAUUUAUACAUGGAAGAGUGGACUACUUACCAGUGGAAGUACAGUGCCAUUACCUGUCAUUCAUAAAGUAAGAGUGCACUGAUGAAGACUGGCAUAAUAAAAUGCUGGUUCUACCACUUUCAUAAAGGUAUGAGGAGAAUACAAGUCAAAGGAAUGAAUCUGUAAACUCUUCACUCCAAAUGCUGGUGUUAUCUACUGCCUGCUUCAAACCCACUAGGAGCUCUCCCAAUCUUGAUAUAAAUGCCUACAAAAUAAACACUACUAUAUACCUGAAAGGACUGUAUACAUACUUCAACAAAAGUACAACCAUUGAUCAUAACUAUAUAUACAUUAACCCACAUAUACUUUGACAGUCUACAUGGACGGCACAAUAUUGCAGAGGUUAGGGUUGUUGUAACAAAGCUCUAGGCACUGAUUAAUAACUAUUAAUGCUUCAUUUACUAUUUCUGUCUGUUUAUAUUUCUACAGACAUGCUGCUUAGUGUCAUUUACUACUCAAAACUGUUCCUAGGGGUGGGUGGGAGGGAGGGUGUGUGUGUGUGUGUGUGGUGCUUGGUGGGCUCCCACAGAAAAAUUGGCCUUCUAUCUAGAGUAGGUAUUGACUUGUUUCUAGAGUUUCAUGAACAGGCACCUGAUUACUGCAACCCUUAUAUGAAUUAAGAUGUUAAUGAUGAUGAAUGGAGCUACUUUAU
Molecule: long non-coding RNA, 2009 nt
Organism: Protopterus annectens (West African lungfish)
Lineage: Eukaryota; Metazoa; Chordata; Ceratodontiformes; Protopteridae
Exons: 2
Source: RefSeq, a predicted model, not a curated record